This 404-nucleotide ribosomal RNA is filed under the name uncultured prokaryote. RNAcentral describes it as "bacterial SSU rRNA". It matches the Rfam family "Bacterial small subunit ribosomal RNA", at positions 355 to 776 of the family's 1533-position model. The record is from RNAcentral.
UGGGGAAUCUUGCACAAUGGGGGAAACCCUGAUGCAGCGACGCCGCGUGAGCGAUGAAGCCCUUCGGGGUGUAAAGCUCUUUCGGCAGGGACGAUAAUGACGGUACCUGCAGAAGCAGCUGCGGCUAACUACGUGCCAGCAGCCGCGGUAAUACGUAGGCAGCGAGCGUUGUUCGGAGUUACUGGGCGUAAAGGGUGUGUAGGCGGUUGCUUAAGUUUGGUGUGAAAUCUCCCGGCUCAACUGGGAGGGUGCGCCGAAUACUGAGCGGCUAGAGUGCGGGAGAGGAGAGUGGAAUUCCUGGUGUAGCGGUGAAAUGCGUAGAGAUCGGGAGGAACACCAGUGGCGAAGGCGGCUAACUGGACUGUAACUGACGCUGAAGCGCGAAAGUGUGGGGAGCAAACAGG